GGGGGUAUAGCUCAGUUGUUAGAGUUGCUGCCUUGCAUGCAUAAGGCCCUGGGUUCAAUCCCCAGCACCAAUA
RNAcentral lists this transfer RNA (73 nucleotides) under Ictidomys tridecemlineatus (thirteen-lined ground squirrel). RNAcentral's name for it is "Spermophilus tridecemlineatus (thirteen-lined ground squirrel) tRNA". It matches the Rfam family "tRNA". Rfam says of the family: Transfer RNA (tRNA) molecules are approximately 80 nucleotides in length. Their secondary structure includes four short double-helical elements and three loops (D, anti-codon, and T loops). Further hydrogen bonds mediate the characteristic L-shaped molecular structure. tRNAs have two regions of fundamental functional importance: the anti-codon, which is responsible for specific mRNA codon recognition, and the 3' end, to which the tRNAs corresponding amino acid is attached (by aminoacyl-tRNA synthetases). tRNAs cope with the degeneracy of the genetic code in two manners: having more than one tRNA (with a specific anti-codon) for a particular amino acid; and 'wobble' base-pairing, i.e. permitting non-standard base-pairing at the 3rd anti-codon position. The record is from Rfam by way of RNAcentral. Lineage: Eukaryota; Metazoa; Chordata; Mammalia; Rodentia; Sciuridae.